Molecule: long non-coding RNA, 218 nt
Filed under: Elaeis guineensis (African oil palm)
Lineage: Eukaryota; Viridiplantae; Streptophyta; Magnoliopsida; Arecales; Arecaceae
Description: long non-coding RNA (EGUI_LNC000688)
Source: RNAcentral
UCUCCUCUUCCUCCUCUACUCCAUCUUUUUUGAGAGAGUCUGUGAUAAACAAGAUUGAGAUCAACAUCAUCACUAUCAGAAGGUGGCUUCUACAAGGGCGCUAGCAUCUCGAUGAAGCAAUGGACCUCUGAUCAGAUCGAAAGUUUCGUAUGGAUACUCAUAGAGGUCGGACAUGCAUGCAGCUCUAUAAGAACCUCAUCAAAUUACCACAAUCAUCA